ACUUAGCUCAGUUGGUAGAGCACCUGACUGUUAAUCAGGUUGUCGCCGGUUCGAGCCCGGCAG
Molecule: transfer RNA, 63 nt
Filed under: Leuconostoc mesenteroides
Lineage: Bacteria; Bacillati; Bacillota; Bacilli; Lactobacillales; Lactobacillaceae
Also listed under: 4 other names
Rfam family: tRNA
About the family: Transfer RNA (tRNA) molecules are approximately 80 nucleotides in length. Their secondary structure includes four short double-helical elements and three loops (D, anti-codon, and T loops).
Source: RNAcentral